AGGAAGUUAGGCUGAGGGGCAGAGAGCGAGACUUUUCUAUUUUCCAAAAGCUCGGUCUGAGGCCCCUCAGUCUUGCUUCCUACCCCGCGC
This 90-nucleotide microRNA precursor is filed under the name Pongo pygmaeus (Bornean orangutan). RNAcentral describes it as "microRNA ppy-mir-423 precursor". Its record names the gene ppy-mir-423. It matches the Rfam family "mir-423 microRNA precursor family". The record is from miRBase by way of RNAcentral. RNAcentral also lists the same sequence under 1 other name. Lineage: Eukaryota; Metazoa; Chordata; Mammalia; Primates; Hominidae.